CGCCCCACUGCGACCCAUAGCGCCCCUCUGAUUGCCCCAUAGCAACACACAGCGACCCAUAGCGCCCCACUGAUUGCCCCAUAGCAACACACAGCGACCCAUAGCACCCCACUCAUUGCCCCAGAGCAACCACAGCACCCCACUGAUUGCCCCAUAGCAACACUCAGCGACCCAUAGCGCCCCACUGAUUGCCCCAUAGCAACACUCAGCGACCCAUAGCGCCCCACUGAUUGCACCAUAGCAACACUCAGCGACCCAUAGCGCCCCACUCAUUGCCCCAUAGCAACACACAGCGACCCAUAGCGCCCCGGAUCAGCGGGGAUCUUUAUUUCCAUGGGGACGGUGACAAUGGGUGGCAGUGACAGGUGAUGGUGACAGGGAUCCAGGUGACACGAUGAUGGUGACACAGGUGACGGUGACAGGGAUCCAGGUGACACCAUGAUGGUGACACGGUGAUGGUGACACAGGUGACAGUGUCAGGGAUCCAGGUGACACCAUGAUGGUGACAUGGAUCCAGGUGACACCGUGACGGUGACAUGGGUGGUGGUGACAGGGAUCCAGGUGACACUGGUGACGGUGACAAGGAUCCAGGCGACACCGUGAUGGUGACACGGGUGACGGCGACGCAGGUGGCAGUGAUGGGGAUACAGGUGACAGUGACACGGGUGUUGGUGACAGUGUCGGCGUCAGUCUUGGUGUUGCUGGUGCCGGUGUUGGUGAUGGUGCCGGUGUCGGUGUUGUUGGUGUUGGUGUCGGUGCCAGUGUUGGUGGUGUUGGUGUUGUUGGCAGUGCCGGUGUUGGUGCCGGUGUUGGUGGUGGUGGUGUUGGCGGUGCCGGUGUUGGUGCCGGUGUUGGUGGUGGUGGUGUUGGCGGUGCCGGUGUUGGUGCCGGUGUUGGUGGUGGUGUUGUUGGCGGUGCUGGUGUUGGUGCCGGUGUUGGUGCCGGUGUUGGUGGUG
RNAcentral lists this long non-coding RNA (956 nucleotides) under Numida meleagris (helmeted guineafowl). Its description in RNAcentral is "lncRNA (ENSNMEG00000002644.1)". Lineage: Eukaryota; Metazoa; Chordata; Aves; Galliformes; Numididae. The record is from RNAcentral.